Molecule: long non-coding RNA, 293 nt
Filed under: Brassica rapa (field mustard)
Lineage: Eukaryota; Viridiplantae; Streptophyta; Magnoliopsida; Brassicales; Brassicaceae
Description: long non-coding RNA (BRAP_LNC005111)
Source: RNAcentral
GCUUAUCCAAGUUUUUAAAAUAUUUUAGAUCAAAAAAUUACUUUUCGCACAAGAACCAAACAUUUAAGCCGAAGAAUCUCAGGCCUACUAUUUGGUUACAAUGAAACUAUGGCAGCUCAGUUUUAUACCAUGAUUUAGCAAUUUAAAAGUUAAUUAUAGUUAUUAGAAAUUUACUUUCAUGUGCCAAACCUGUCUAUUUUCAAUAUUUUUCUCAUUUUUGUGUCACUUUUUUUAUUUUCGUUAUUGCUCGAUAUAAAUAUAUAUUUUUGAGUUUAUUCUGAUUUUGUUAUUUU